UUCUCCACAUUCUUUAUUCUUUAGUCUUAUUAGCUAUAGCUCUUAUUCUUUGGUCUCUAUUAGUCUUUAUUCUUUUCUUAUAGCGCAGACUUUCUUACUUAACUGAUCCUUGUCUUUUUCUUUGCUUUCCUGUAGAUGCAGGCAUCGAUUCUUUGAAAAAGCUUCGAGAAAUUAAUUUUGAAAACUUAGAAGCCAUAGUCUCUAAGUCCCUUAGAAGUAGAGAAGUGAAAUAUCUCAAAGAAAAAUGGACUGCUUGGCGAGAAGAGGUGCAAGAGAAUCAGCCAACAAGUCCUCGUACUGCUGAAAAGAGGCAAUCCGAGACCCCUGGUAACUCUUCACCAGCCAAGAGGCACCUUUCUUCAAAUGACAUUGAAAAUCAGAGGGAAAGUAUUGAGGGUUGCUCUCAGGAUUCCAUCAACCUACAGAAUUCACCAAGAAGAAGUCCUCGCAUUGCAAACAAAACACAAGUGACCACCAGCAGCUCUGAUUCAGCGAAAAAGCAGCUUUUUCCUGUCCUAAUAGGGCAAACUUCCUCUAGCCAAGACUUGCAAAAAAAAACUAGAGGCUUCCACUCAAGGCUGCCAAAUCUUAGCUUAUUUUAAAAAAUAUAACACACUCGAUAACAAACGAAGAAACAAAUUAUGCAAUUUCAUAAUUAGUGAUGCUCUCACACCAGAUCCGAAUAAAAAAUUAACAGCAGACACACUCAAAAGGUUACAAGAUGAUAUUGUUAGAACGUUCCCAGAUGAAAAUCCACUAGAAUGGUACACUCCAUAUAUGACAGAUGAAAAUGGCAAAAGUAUCAAUGCAACCGGUCGUUUAGUGUUCGGUUAUCAUAAUCACCGAAGAGAACUAAUAAAAAGUGGUCUUGCGACUCCAUUUAGAAACACCAAGAAAACUGCUUCGACCACUGAAGGGGUUUCCAUCUCAGAUGAGCAGGUCCUAAAAAAUUUACAAAUCUUGAAAGAUCCAGAAGUUUUGAGUGAGCAAGCCCUCACUCUUUGGAGCGACACAUUUCAUGCUAGAUUGGACGAUUUUGAUAAGAAAUACUCAAGUAUUGAGGAGUACCUAAACACAUACCCUAUUUUGAAGUCUCCCGUUGGAGCAAAACUGUUUCGUUUGGAUUUCAAAGAGAAAUUUCCUAACUAUGAGAUUUCCCUCUUAAACGCUUGGAAUAAAGUGAAGGAAAAAGUUCUUAGUUUUGCCUCAGACGUUCUCAAGGAGGAUCUCAACCUACUACAAAUAUUACAACAUGAUGAUGUUGAUUUAGAAGUUGCAGAUUCAAAACUCCUAACAGUUGCUGCGUUUCGCCUCAUUGGAUAUUAUUCAUCUGUAUGCAAAGCGAUUAAAGGAUCAAACGGGAAGAUAUGGCAUCCAGACAAAAAAGAUGCGAUGAACAGUGUACUCUUGCUUGUGAAAUCAUCAGCAAACAUUACACUCAGUAUCGAUGAAGAAAUUGAAAAGGUAGCAAAAUUUGGCCUGACACUUCAACCACUACCUAUUGCUGUUGUCAAUGAAAAGGAAGUAGUAUCCUCCCACUUCUUCAUAAAUGGAAAACUCCAUUUCUGCGAGAGCCCGCUAGAUGCCAUUGAUCUUGCCUUUAAGAC
Molecule: long non-coding RNA, 1607 nt
Filed under: Bemisia tabaci
Lineage: Eukaryota; Metazoa; Arthropoda; Insecta; Hemiptera; Aleyrodidae
Description: lncRNA ENSSWEETPG001604
Source: RNAcentral